CGGGCUAAAGGGGCGGGGGAAGGGUUAGGGCGCCCGGUAGCGAGCAGGCAGACUAGAACCAGCUGAACGACGUAACACUGUACCAUGCUUCGCAAUGCCCUAGGAAAAACCUUUCGAUUUGUUGGGUAUACUGUGCAAUAUGGCUGCAUAGCGCAUUGUGCCUUUGAGUACCUUGGAGGAAUUGUUGUGUGUUCUGGACCUUCAAUGGAACCAACCAUUCAAAAUUCUGAUAUUGUCUUUUCGGAGAACCUUAGCCGCCACUUUUAUUGCAUUCGAAAAGGAGAUAUUGUAAUUGUGAAAAGCCCAAAUGACCCCAAAUCAAAUAUCUGUAAAAGAGUAAUUGGCUUGGAAGGGGAUAAAGUCUGCACAAGCAACCCUUCAGAUUUCCUUAAGAGUCACAGCUAUGUGCCUAAAGGACAUGUUUGGUUAGAAGGUGAUAAUCUCAGGAAUUCUACAGAUUCCAGGUGCUAUGGACCUGUUCCUUACGGACUGAUAAGAGGACGCAUUUGUUUUAAGAAUCUUGAGAUGGCUUUUUGAAGGACUCAUCUGGAUGCAAAAGAAUCUCAGGAAAUACAGAUAACCUUUAAAAUACUGUAGAUUCAGUGAAUCAAUAGCCCUUCCAAAUAUGUAAAGUCAUGGGUCACUGGCUACAAAAUGGUGUCAUUUUAGUUAAGAAAUGGUUAUUCGAGGACAUGGCUGCUAGAAAUCCCACGUUAAAAAGGCAAUAAUAAUUAAAAUGGUAACACGUUUUCUUUACCAUUUGUACUACAGGUUCUGAACAGAGCAUUCCAACUUCUUUUUGGUGCAAAUGUCUACUGAAAAGGAACUCUCAAAGCUCCAUCUUCCUGUAGCUUUAAUUCAUCUCCAGUAAUAUCUCUUUUUGAUAUUUUAAAUUGCUCAGUGUAAGUGAUGGACCAACAGGACAGUUGCAAUAUCAUCAGACCUAUCAGCUGUUAACUGUGUUAUAAAUCAAGAUAUCCCUUAUUCUGGAGCAUUAACUUCUGCCCUUUAUACUAACAUCAGUUGGGGCACUGAAAUGUACAGCAGAUUUUAAGACUUAGAACACCUGUUCUACAAGUAUUUGAGCAGAUUUCUGAUUAACUGAAUCCCUUUGUUUUAGUUUAUAAUUAAUUUUGGAAUGGAAUGAAAAGAAUAAUAAUAUCACGUGUGCUUUAUAAAAUCCAAAAUUUAAAAGGACCACUUCUACUGGAGUCUGUUUGCUCCCUGAUGUAUGUAUCUGUCGUUGGCGCUGAUGGGUAUUACCUGGAUAAAUCCCCUGUAUGACAAGAGAAUGUACUUAAGAGGAAAAUACUAAGCUUUGACCUUAAGUUUUUUCACAAGUAUUUUUCCAUAUACAGAGGAAUGUACCUGCAGCCCCAAGUAUGAAGUCUGUACACAAAUGUUCCAUCGUAUGAGUAAGCACAUGAAGUCACCUCUGCAUUCAGACUGAGGACUAGCUUGCAACUUGCUGAAGUUAUGGCUGAAGCGCAGUUGCGACCCGUAAAAGUUUAUCUCUUAGCGAUCCCUUCAUCUCCACAACUGAAGAUGACAAAAUUCUAAGGUGCAAACAAAUAAAAAAUUUUUGGUUGUUGCAUUUAGUCAUUGUAUUCUAAAUAGCUAAUUAGAUAAUGAGUAAUUAUACCUUUAUUUGGUAGGCACUAAAUUCGGUGUUCUGUCAGCAUGCGUCAUGUUGUACUGUAAAAGCUAUUUAAAUGUAUUAUUUGUUUUCAAGUCCAUUUUUCUGAAACCUUAGCUUUUCCAGCUGUAUUUUAAUUUUAAUAGCUUUUUUAACAUUGGUGGUUGAUUGUAUACCACAUUUGUGAAAGGUCAUUUUAAGAAAAAUCAAUGCUUAAUAAGCAUACAAGGCAAAAUAGUCAGAUCACAUUAAAGACUUAUAUGGUUUCCUUUUA
Molecule: RNA transcript, 1910 nt
Organism: Aquila chrysaetos chrysaetos
Lineage: Eukaryota; Metazoa; Chordata; Aves; Accipitriformes; Accipitridae
Gene: IMMP1L
Gene name: inner mitochondrial membrane peptidase subunit 1
Exons: 7
Source: RefSeq, a predicted model, not a curated record